Molecule: long non-coding RNA, 623 nt
Filed under: Homo sapiens (human)
Lineage: Eukaryota; Metazoa; Chordata; Mammalia; Primates; Hominidae
Description: HSALNT0207778
Source: RNAcentral
GGUUGAAGAUGAAAUCCACUGAGGAGGGAAGUCCAGCACCCUGUGUGCCAGUCCAGAACUGGCCCAUCUGUAGACCCCCUGAAAAUCAUAUGGGCUUGGAUUUGGAUAUUCUCAACAGAAAGGGUUAAAGGCUGAUGGUACCUAAAGCCUGGUACUUGAAUUUUGAUCAAGAUAAGCUGCCUUAAGUUCUCUUCAUUACACAAAUGAUCCUAGAUAAUUGAUAGAUCCUGUGGUUCAACUGGAUUUCUAGAUAGAAGCUGGAUUCAUGUGAUGCCAGAGGAGUAAAAUUUCAAGAGACUGAAACCAGAUCUGAGUUUCGCUGUUCCAGUCUGGACCUCUUUGGUGCUGUAAAUCCUGGAUAUACUGUAGAUGAGUACUGCGUUUUUCUUUUAUGGCCUCUCUUCAGCUUCUGGAGACCUCACUAUCCUAUUAUGUCUUUGUGUGAAGACAUGCUGCUUUGUAAUUAUCGAAAGUGUCGCAUCAAACUCUCUGGCUAUGCAUGGGUCACUGCCUGCUCUCACAUCUUCUGUGAUCAGCAUGGCAGUGGUGAGUUUAGUCGCUCACCAGCUAUCUGUCCUGCCUGCAACAGUACCCUUUCUGGAAAGCUAGAUAUUGUCCGCACA